This 275-nucleotide ribosomal RNA is filed under the name uncultured bacterium. RNAcentral describes it as "partial 16S ribosomal RNA". It matches the Rfam family "Bacterial small subunit ribosomal RNA", at positions 399 to 691 of the family's 1533-position model. The record is from RNAcentral.
GCGUGAGUGAUGAAGGCCCUAGGGUUGUAAAGCUCUUUUACCAGGGAUGAUAAUGACAGUACCUGGAGAAUAAGCUCCGGCUAACUCCGUGCCAGCAGCCGCGGUAAUACGGAGGGAGCUAGCGUUGUUCGGAAUUACUGGGCGUAAAGCGCGCGUAGGCGGCUUGCCAAGUCAGGGGUGAAAUCCCGGGGCUCAACCCCGGAACUGCCCUUGAAACUAGCAGGCUAGAAUCUUGGAGAGGUCAGUGGAAUUCCGAGUGUAGAGGUGAAAUUCGU